Molecule: ribosomal RNA, 1522 nt
Filed under: Salmonella enterica subsp. enterica serovar Rubislaw
Lineage: Bacteria; Pseudomonadati; Pseudomonadota; Gammaproteobacteria; Enterobacterales; Enterobacteriaceae
Also listed under: 37 other names
Description: bacterial SSU rRNA
Rfam family: Bacterial small subunit ribosomal RNA
Source: RNAcentral
AGAGUUUGAUCAUGGCUCAGAUUGAACGCUGGCGGCAGGCCUAACACAUGCAAGUCGAACGGUAACAGGAAGCAGCUUGCUGCUUUGCUGACGAGUGGCGGACGGGUGAGUAAUGUCUGGGAAACUGCCUGAUGGAGGGGGAUAACUACUGGAAACGGUGGCUAAUACCGCAUAACGUCGCAAGACCAAAGAGGGGGACCUUCGGGCCUCUUGCCAUCAGAUGUGCCCAGAUGGGAUUAGCUUGUUGGUGAGGUAACGGCUCACCAAGGCGACGAUCCCUAGCUGGUCUGAGAGGAUGACCAGCCACACUGGAACUGAGACACGGUCCAGACUCCUACGGGAGGCAGCAGUGGGGAAUAUUGCACAAUGGGCGCAAGCCUGAUGCAGCCAUGCCGCGUGUAUGAAGAAGGCCUUCGGGUUGUAAAGUACUUUCAGCGGGGAGGAAGGUGUUGUGGUUAAUAACCGCAGCAAUUGACGUUACCCGCAGAAGAAGCACCGGCUAACUCCGUGCCAGCAGCCGCGGUAAUACGGAGGGUGCAAGCGUUAAUCGGAAUUACUGGGCGUAAAGCGCACGCAGGCGGUCUGUCAAGUCGGAUGUGAAAUCCCCGGGCUCAACCUGGGAACUGCAUUCGAAACUGGCAGGCUUGAGUCUUGUAGAGGGGGGUAGAAUUCCAGGUGUAGCGGUGAAAUGCGUAGAGAUCUGGAGGAAUACCGGUGGCGAAGGCGGCCCCCUGGACAAAGACUGACGCUCAGGUGCGAAAGCGUGGGGAGCAAACAGGAUUAGAUACCCUGGUAGUCCACGCCGUAAACGAUGUCUACUUGGAGGUUGUGCCCUUGAGGCGUGGCUUCCGGAGCUAACGCGUUAAGUAGACCGCCUGGGGAGUACGGCCGCAAGGUUAAAACUCAAAUGAAUUGACGGGGGCCCGCACAAGCGGUGGAGCAUGUGGUUUAAUUCGAUGCAACGCGAAGAACCUUACCUGGUCUUGACAUCCACAGAACUUUCCAGAGAUGGAUUGGUGCCUUCGGGAACUGUGAGACAGGUGCUGCAUGGCUGUCGUCAGCUCGUGUUGUGAAAUGUUGGGUUAAGUCCCGCAACGAGCGCAACCCUUAUCCUUUGUUGCCAGCGGUCCGGCCGGGAACUCAAAGGAGACUGCCAGUGAUAAACUGGAGGAAGGUGGGGAUGACGUCAAGUCAUCAUGGCCCUUACGACCAGGGCUACACACGUGCUACAAUGGCGCAUACAAAGAGAAGCGACCUCGCGAGAGCAAGCGGACCUCAUAAAGUGCGUCGUAGUCCGGAUUGGAGUCUGCAACUCGACUCCAUGAAGUCGGAAUCGCUAGUAAUCGUGGAUCAGAAUGCCACGGUGAAUACGUUCCCGGGCCUUGUACACACCGCCCGUCACACCAUGGGAGUGGGUUGCAAAAGAAGUAGGUAGCUUAACCUUCGGGAGGGCGCUUACCACUUUGUGAUUCAUGACUGGGGUGAAGUCGUAACAAGGUAACCGUAGGGGAACCUGCGGUUG